CCUACGGGGUGCUGCAGUGGGGAAUAUUGCACAAUGGGGGAAACCCUGAUGCAGCGACGCCGCGUGAGUGAAGAAGUAAUUCGUUAUGUAAAGCUCUAUCAGCAGGGAAGAAAAUGACGGUACCUGAGUAAGAAGCCCCGGCUAACUACGUGCCAGCAGCCGCGGUAAUACGUAGGGGGCAAGCGUUAUCCGGAUUUACUGGGUGUAAAGGGAGCGUAGACGGCAGUGCAAGUCUGGAGUGAAAGGCGGGGGCUCAACCGGCGGGGUGCGGGGGGAAGGGGGGGGCGGGAGUGCAGGAGAGGUAAGUGGAAUUCCUAGUGUAGCGGUGAAAUGCGUAGAUAUUAGGAGGAACACCAGUGGCGAAGGCGGCUUACUGGACUGUAACUGACGUUGAGGCUCGAAAGCGUGGGGAGCAAACAGGAUUAGAUACCCUUGUAGUC
RNAcentral lists this ribosomal RNA (440 nucleotides) under uncultured bacterium. Its description in RNAcentral is "partial 16S ribosomal RNA". It matches the Rfam family "Bacterial small subunit ribosomal RNA", at positions 338 to 795 of the family's 1533-position model. The record is from RNAcentral.